Molecule: ribosomal RNA, 253 nt
Filed under: uncultured bacterium
Lineage: Bacteria
Description: partial 16S ribosomal RNA
Rfam family: Bacterial small subunit ribosomal RNA
Source: RNAcentral
GACAGAGGGUGCAAACGUUGUUCGGAAUUACUGGGCGUAAAGCGUGUGUAGGCGGUCUCUUAAGUCGGAUGUGAAAUCCCCGGGCUCAACCUGGGAACUGCAUUUGUGACUGCAUGGCUGGAGUGCGGCAGAGGGGGAUGGAAUUCCGCGUGUAGCAGUGAAAUGCGUAGAUAUGCGGAGGAACACCGAUGGCGAAGGCAAUCCCCUGGGCCUGCACUGACGCUCAUGCACGAAAGCGUGGGGAGCAAACAGG